Molecule: transfer RNA, 72 nt
Filed under: Thioalkalivibrio denitrificans
Lineage: Bacteria; Pseudomonadati; Pseudomonadota; Gammaproteobacteria; Chromatiales; Ectothiorhodospiraceae
Description: tRNA-Asn
Source: RNAcentral
AACCUGGUGGACCGGCCAUGGCCGGGACUGUUAAUCACUAGGUCGGCGGUUCGAGCCCGUCCCGGGGAGCCA